This 540-nucleotide ribosomal RNA is filed under the name uncultured Geobacteraceae bacterium. Its description in RNAcentral is "bacterial SSU rRNA". It matches the Rfam family "Bacterial small subunit ribosomal RNA", at positions 9 to 526 of the family's 1533-position model. The record is from RNAcentral. Lineage: Bacteria; Pseudomonadati; Thermodesulfobacteriota; Desulfuromonadia; Geobacterales; Geobacteraceae.
GAGUUUGAUCCUGGCUCAGAACGAACGCUGGCGGCGUGCCUAACACAUGCAAGUCGAACGGAUUUGAGGGGCUUGCUCCUCAAGUUAGUGGCGCACGGGUGAGUAACGCGUAGAUAAUCUGCCUGAUGAUCUGGGAUAACACUUCGAAAGGGGUGCUAAUACCGGAUAAGCCCACGGGGUCUUUGGAUUCUGCGGGAAAAGGGGGGGACUUUCGGGCCUUCUGUCAUCAGAUGAGUYUGCGUACCAUUAGCUAGUUGGUAGGGUAAUGGCCUACCAAGGCUACGAUGGUUAGCUGGUUUGAGAGAAUGAUCAGCCACACUGGAACUGAGACACGGUCCAGACUCSUACGGGAGGCAGCAGUGGGGAAUUUUGCGCAAUGGGCGAAAGCCUGACGCAGCAACGCCGCGUGAGUGAUGAAGGCUUUCGGGUCGUAAAGCUCUGUCGAGGGGAAAGAAGUGUAUUGUGGCUAAUAUCCACGAUACUUGACGGUACCCCUAAAGGAAGCACCGGCUAACUCCGUGCCAGCAGCCGCGGUAAUAC